CCUACGGGAGGCAGCAGUGAGGAAUAUUGGUCAAUGGGCGCAAGCCUGAACCAGCCAUGCCGCGUGCAGGAAGACGGCUCUAUGAGUUGUAAACUGCUUUUGUACUAGGGUAAUUUGCGGUACGUGUACCGUAUUGAAAGUAUAGUACGAAUAAGGAUCGGCUAACUCCGUGCCAGCAGCCGCGGUAA
This 188-nucleotide ribosomal RNA is filed under the name uncultured Bacteroidales bacterium. Its description in RNAcentral is "partial 16S ribosomal RNA". It matches the Rfam family "Bacterial small subunit ribosomal RNA", at positions 338 to 523 of the family's 1533-position model. Lineage: Bacteria; Pseudomonadati; Bacteroidota; Bacteroidia; Bacteroidales. The record is from RNAcentral.